This 328-nucleotide unclassified non-coding RNA is filed under the name fungal sp. RNAcentral describes it as "partial internal transcribed spacer region". The stretch from base 1 to 46 matches the Rfam family "Eukaryotic small subunit ribosomal RNA", at positions 1786 to 1831 of the family's 1831-position model. The record is from RNAcentral. Lineage: Eukaryota; Fungi.
AAGUCGUAACAAGGUUUCCGUAGGUGAACCUGCGGAAGGAUCAUUCACAAUGAGUGUUUAAUGGCACUCCAAAUCCAUUACCCACCUUGUGUGCAUUGUCGGGAGGACUCUUUUUCCCAAUCUUCUCUCUCACUCUCUCCUUUCUCCUCUUCCUCUCCCUCUCUCUCUCUUUGAGGGGAGAGAGAGGGGUUGUGGAGGGGGGAGGAGGGGAGAAGGGAGAGGGAAAGAGGGAACUCCAUUUCAUUCAUACUCUGUUCUUCAGUAUCUGUCUACUUCAAUUGAGUAUAAAACUCGAAUACAACUUUCAACAACGGAUCUCUUGGCUCUC